Long non-coding RNA from Neoarius graeffei (lesser salmon catfish), 286 nucleotides. RefSeq lists it as uncharacterized. The record is from RefSeq and is a predicted model, not a curated record. The transcript is spliced from 3 exons. Lineage: Eukaryota; Metazoa; Chordata; Actinopteri; Siluriformes; Ariidae.
GUUAAAUAUGGCGACACUGGUUGAGUGACGGAUUUAAUUGAAGAGCUUAUGAGCUUUGCAUUGAAAGAAAAGCUUGUCGUCGAGAAUUUUGGAUGGUAACAGUUUUCUGUUCAUAAACCCUGGAGGACACACAGGGACUUCCAGAAGCUUUCACAGACGUCAAAAGGAGGACUUGAAGUCUAUCUGUUGGUCAUGAAUCAGAUGGUGGAGGAAUAGAGGACGCACUCGGCCCAAUCCAGCUCCAUCCCACACUGCGUUUAAAGGCAAGUGUGUGUGUGUGUGUGAG